UACAGAGGUCUCAAGCGUUGUUCGGAUUCAUUGGGCGUAGAGGGUACGUAGGCGGCGCGGUAAGUCGGGUGUGAAAUCUUGGAGCUUAACUCCGAAACUGCAUUCGAUACUGCCGUGCUUGAGGACUGGAGAGGAGACUGGAAUUUACGGUGUAGCGGUGAAAUGCGUAGAUAUCGUAAGGAAGACCAGUGGCGAAGGCGGGUCUCUGGACAGUUCCUGACGCUGAGGCACGAAGGCCAGGGGAGCAAACGGG
RNAcentral lists this ribosomal RNA (253 nucleotides) under uncultured bacterium. Its description in RNAcentral is "partial 16S ribosomal RNA". It matches the Rfam family "Bacterial small subunit ribosomal RNA", at positions 524 to 776 of the family's 1533-position model. The record is from RNAcentral.